GUGCUGGCUUCAGCAGCACAUAUACUAAAAUUGGAAUGAUACAGAGAAGAUUAGCAUGGCCCCUGCACAAGGAUGACAUGCAAAUUCAUGAAGCGUUCCAUAUUUUC
This is a small nuclear RNA of Nycticebus coucang (slow loris), 107 nucleotides long. NCBI's taxonomy places the organism in Eukaryota, Metazoa, Chordata, Mammalia, Primates, Lorisidae. The record is from RefSeq and is a predicted model, not a curated record.